This 577-nucleotide ribosomal RNA is filed under the name uncultured eukaryote. RNAcentral's name for it is "eukaryotic LSU rRNA". The stretch from base 211 to 364 matches the Rfam family "5.8S ribosomal RNA". The record is from RNAcentral.
CUUGGUCAUUUAGAGGAAGUAAAAGUCGUAACAAGGUCUCCGUUGGUGAACCAGCGGAGGGAUCAUUAUCGAGUUAUUCAACUCCCAAACCCUAUGUGAACUUACCACUUGUUGCUUCGGCGCGCGCUUCGGCGCCGCCGAGGACACUUAAACUCUUUGUUUUUAUAAGCAUUUCUGAGUGGCCGAAAGGCAAAAAUACAAAUGAAUCAAAACUUUCAACAACGGAUCUCUUGGUUCUGGCAUCGAUGAAGAACGCAGCGAAAUGCGAUAAGUAAUGUGAAUUGCAGAAUUCAGUGAAUCAUCGAAUCUUUGAACGCACAUUGCGCCCGCCAGCAUUCUGGCGGGCAUGCCUGUUCGAGCGUCAUUUCAACCCUCGAGCCCGACUCUUUUGAGGACGGCUCGGCGUUGGGGGACGGCAGACUCCCCCCGGCAUCUCGCCGGGGACGCCGCCCCCGAAAUCUAGUGGCGGCCCUCCGAGGCGACCUCUGCGUAGUAACUUGUUCUCGCACCGGAAAGCUCAGAGCGGCCACGCCGUAAAACCCCAACUUUUUUCAGGUUGACCUCGAAUCAGGUAGGA